This 406-nucleotide ribosomal RNA is filed under the name uncultured bacterium. Its description in RNAcentral is "partial 16S ribosomal RNA". It matches the Rfam family "Bacterial small subunit ribosomal RNA", at positions 30 to 526 of the family's 1533-position model. The record is from RNAcentral.
AUUGAACGCUGGCGGCAGGCUUAACACAUGCAAGUCGAGCGAGCGGCGGGCGGGUGAGUAAUGGCUGGGAAACUGCCUGAUGGAGGGGGAUAACUACUGGAAACGGUAGCUACUACAGCAUACCAUCAGGUGAGCACAGAUGGGAUUAGUUAGUAGGUGGGGUAAUGGCUCACCUAGCCGACGAGCCCUAGCUGGUCUGAGAGGAAGACCAUCCAAACUGGAACGGAUACACGGUCCCGACUCCUACGGGAGGCAGCAGGGGGGAAGAUUGAACAAUUGGCGCAAGCCUUAUGCAGCCAUGCCGCGUGAGUGAAGAAGUCUUUCGGGUUGUAAAGCACUAUCAGCGAGGAGGCGUUACUCGCAGAAGAAGCACCGGCUAACUCCGUGCCAGCAGCCGCGGUAAUAC